UACGGGGGGGGUAAGCGUUGUUCGGAAUUACUGGGCGUAAAGGGCUCGUAGGCGGCCAACUAAGUCGGACGUGAAAUCCCUCAGCUUAACUGGGGAACUGCGUCCGAUACUGGAUGGCUUGGAUUUGGGAGAGGGAUGCGGAAUUCCAGGUGUAGCGGUGAAAUGCGUAGAUAUCUGGAGGAACACCGGUGGCGAAGGCGGCAUCCUGGACCAAUAUUGACGCUGAGGAGCGAAAGCCAGGGGAGCAAACAGG
This 253-nucleotide ribosomal RNA is filed under the name uncultured bacterium. RNAcentral describes it as "partial 16S ribosomal RNA". It matches the Rfam family "Bacterial small subunit ribosomal RNA", at positions 524 to 776 of the family's 1533-position model. The record is from RNAcentral.